This is a non-coding RNA of Podarcis lilfordi (Lilford's wall lizard), 73 nucleotides long. NCBI's taxonomy places the organism in Eukaryota, Metazoa, Chordata, Lepidosauria, Squamata, Lacertidae. The record is from the annotation of a GenBank genome assembly.
CCCCCAGAAGCUCUGUAGACAGAGCAUGAGACUCAUAAUGUCAGGGUUGUGGGUUCGAGACCCAUUUGGGGCA